UACGUAGGCCCCAAGCGUUAUCCGGAAUUAUUGGGCGUAAAGAGCGUGUAGGUGGUACUACAAGUCGGUCGUUAAAUCUCACCGCCCAACGGUGAGGCCGCGAGCGAUACUGUAGUACUUGAGUCUUACAGGGGUGAGCAGAAUUUUUGGAGUAGGGGUGAAAUCCGUUGAUACCAAAAGGAAUACCAAUGGCGAAGGCAGCUCACUGGACCGCUAUCGACGCUGAGGAGCGAAAGCUAGGGGAGCAAACAGG
This 253-nucleotide ribosomal RNA is filed under the name uncultured bacterium. RNAcentral describes it as "partial 16S ribosomal RNA". It matches the Rfam family "Bacterial small subunit ribosomal RNA", at positions 524 to 776 of the family's 1533-position model. The record is from RNAcentral.